RNAcentral lists this ribosomal RNA (460 nucleotides) under uncultured bacterium. RNAcentral's name for it is "partial 16S ribosomal RNA". It matches the Rfam family "Bacterial small subunit ribosomal RNA", at positions 338 to 795 of the family's 1533-position model. The record is from RNAcentral.
CCUACGGGCGGCAGCAGUGAGGAAUAUUGGUCAAUGGACGAGAGUCUGAACCAGCCAAGUAGCGUGAAGGAUGACUGCCCUAUGGGUUGUAAACUUCUUUUAUAUGGGAAUAAAAUGUUCCACGUGUGGGAUUUUGUAUGUACCAUAUGAAUAAGGAUCGGCUAACUCCGUGCCAGCAGCCGCGGUAAUACGGAGGAGCCGAGCGUUAUCCGGAUUUAUUGGGUUUAAAGGGAGCGUAGGUGGAUUGUUAAGUCAGUUGUGAAAGUUUGCGGCUCAACCGUAAAAUUGCAGUUGAAACUGGCAGUCUUGAGUACAGUAGAGGUGGGCGGAAUUCGUGGUGUAGCGGUGAAAUGCUUAGAUAUCACGAAGAACUCCGAUUGCGAAGGCAGUUCACUGGACUGCAACUGACACUGAGGCUCGAAAGUGUGGGUAUCAAACAGGAUUAGAUACCCCUGUAGUC